Molecule: ribosomal RNA, 483 nt
Filed under: Triticum aestivum (bread wheat)
Lineage: Eukaryota; Viridiplantae; Streptophyta; Magnoliopsida; Poales; Poaceae
Description: partial small subunit ribosomal RNA
Source: RNAcentral
AUGCCUCUUAAAUUUUGGGAUGAAGCGUUUCUCACUGCCGUUCAUAUCAUAAACUUGCUACCUAGUCGUGUCAUUAAUCAUGAAACUCCGGUAGAAAGGCUUCUUCACACCAAACCAGACUAUACGUCUCUUUGUGUCUUUGGGUGUGCCUGUUGGCCAAACCUACGUCCCUACAAUAAUCGAAAACUCAUGUUCCGAUCAAAACAAUGCGUGUUCCUUGGCUAUAGUGCUCAGCAUAAGGGGGUCAAGUGCCUGGAUGUCUCCACGGGACGUGUUCACAUAUCCCGUGAUGUAGUCUUUGAUGAAACUAAAUUUCCUUUCACUGAUCUUCACCCUAAUGCCGGCGCACUUCUUCGAGAAGAAAUUCUUCUCUUGCCACCUCAUCUCACUAGCUUUGAUCAAGGGGGACAAAAUGUUGAUGAUCAUUUGUUGACUAACUCAUCUAAUGGCAUGCAUGAGUCUUGUGUCGAUGAAACAAGAUAA